ACAUAGGGGCUAGAAGAUUUAAAUAUUAUUUACACAUAUGACGUCCUAUUAAAAUUUUAGGGUAAAGAUUUAUCGCUUUAGGGGGGAUAGACUUUAAAGAUAAAAUUCGAAGUAGACAGACAGACAAGGGGCGAAUAGGUCCGUUGUUAAAAGGGGGGAGCCCAAAUUAGAAGUUAAAGUCACAGAUUCAAUAAUUAAGUGUAAAAGGAGUAUGGGAUUUAGACAAUGAAGAGGUAGGCUUGGAGCCAGCCAUCUUUGAAAGAAUGCGUAGUAGUUCAUUCAAGAACUCUUUUUCCCCAAAAAUUAUGGUGGCUAAAAAUUGAACUGAAACUCUAGGGGCAGGAAGUAGUUUGCUUGGUAGUAGAACAGACUGUUGGGUGGUGGUGAGAACCCAAGAAUCAGAAGCGAAAAUGUGAACAUGAGUAAAAAAAUUGUUGCUUCAUCUCCCCUGGUUCCCAAACCAAAAGUAUCUGAGCGAAGAGGUUUGGGUGAAACAGUCUCUAAGGAGGGUACCGAUGAGGGAUAGUAAUUAACGCACAAUGUGCCAGGAAAUAAUUAAAACAAAAGAUUACUGUCGCAAACUAACACAAGUGGGAGAUAGUGAGGGGAAAAGUUUUUUUAAGGAACUCGGCCAGUUAUAAACUUUUAUUAGAAGUUAAAACACAAGGCCUCGACUGUUUACCAAAAACAUAGCUCUUUGCUAAUAUGAAGGUAGAAGUAUGAAGGGUGAGACCUGCCCAAUGGUUAUAUCUUAAAAGGUUAGUAGGGCUAACUUAAUAAAGAUAAUUAAAUGGCCGCGGUAACACUAACCGUGAAAAUGUAGCGUAAUCAAUAGUCAAUUAAUUGUUGGCCGGUAUGAAUGGUGUCACGAGGGUCUCACUGUCUUAAGGAAAUCUCCAGUGAAAUUGAAUUUGUAGUGAAGAUGCUACAUCCAAAUUGUUAGACGAGAAGACCCCAUGGAACUUUACUGGAAACUUAUGUCGCUGACUUAAAUAGUUUUAAAAUGUGGUGCGGAUUAAUUAGGUUAAAAAGCUCACUUUUUUAUUUGAAGAAAGGCAACUCAAAAACUUAUGUCUUUGGGGCUUGAUAAGUGGGACAGUUUGGUUGGGGCGAUCGCCUUUAAAAAAGUAACGAAGGCGGGCUUAAGAUAUAUAUUUAGUUAUGUCUGACUGCCAGGGGGAAACCUAGAGCAGACACUUAUCUUUGGAUGGUGGGUUUAAGUGACCCGUUAAUUUAGGGUGAAAUAGUUAACGAUAAACAAAUAAAAGUUACCCUGGGGAUAACAGCGUAAUAACGUCAGAGAGUUUUCAUCGACGACGAUGUUUGCGACCUCGAUGUUGAAUUGUGGCAUCCUGGGGUGCAGUCGCUCCCAAGGGUUGGUCUGUUCGUCCAUUAAAGCCGUACAUGAUUUGAGUUAAAAGCGUCGUAAGACAGCUUGGUUUCUAUCUACAAUUUGAAAAAACAUUAAUAUAACUCUUUUCUAGUACGAAAGGAUCGAAAUAUGAGUGGUUCUCUUAUUUUUAUAAGUUACAAUCAACGGAUUGACUCGGAUACUUUUUAAAGGGG
RNAcentral lists this ribosomal RNA (1566 nucleotides) under Montipora peltiformis. Its description in RNAcentral is "16S ribosomal RNA". It matches the Rfam family "Bacterial large subunit ribosomal RNA", at positions 864 to 2789 of the family's 2925-position model. Lineage: Eukaryota; Metazoa; Cnidaria; Anthozoa; Scleractinia; Acroporidae. The record is from RNAcentral.